RNAcentral lists this ribosomal RNA (429 nucleotides) under Bacteroidota bacterium. Its description in RNAcentral is "Bacteroidetes bacterium partial 16S ribosomal RNA". It matches the Rfam family "Bacterial small subunit ribosomal RNA", at positions 355 to 776 of the family's 1533-position model. The record is from RNAcentral. Lineage: Bacteria; Pseudomonadati; Bacteroidota.
UAGGGAAUCUUCCGCAAUGGACGCAAGUCUGACGGAGCAACGCCGCGUGAGUGAAGAAGGAUUUCGGAUCGUAAAGCUCUGUUGUUAAGGAAGAACGAGUGUGAGAAUGGAAAGUUCAUGCUGUGACGGUACUUAACCAGAAAGGGACGGCUAACUACGUGCCAGCAGCCGCGGUAAUACGUAGGUCCCGAGCGUUGUCCGGAUUUAUUGGGCGUAAAGCGAGCGCAGGCGGUUAGAUAAGUCUGAAGUUAAAGGCAGUGGCUCAACCAUUGUAGGCUUUGGAAACUGUUUAACUUGAGUGCAGAAGGGGAGAGUGGAAUUCCAUGUGUAGCGGUGAAAUGCGUAGAUAUAUGGAGGAACACCGGUGGCGAAAGCGGCUCUCUGGUCUGUAACUGACGCUGAGGCUCGAAAGCGUGGGGAGCGAACAGG